AGUGAACGCUGGCGGUAGGCCUAACACAUGCAAGUCGAACGGCAGCACAGUAAGAGCUUGCUCUUACGGGUGGCGAGUGGCGGACGGGUGAGGAAUACAUCGGAAUCUACUUUUUCGUGGGGGAUAACGUAGGGAAACUCACGCUAAUACCGCAUACGACCUACGGGUGAAAGCAGGGGAUCUUCGGACCUUGCGCGAUUGAAUGAGCCGAUGUCGGAUUAGCUAGUUGGCGGGGUAAAGGCCCACCAAGGCGACGAUCCGUAGCUGGUCUGAGAGGAUGAUCAGCCACACUGGAACUGAGACACGGUCCAGACUCCUACGGGAGGCAGCAGUGGGGAAUAUUGGACAAUGGGCGCAAGCCUGAUCCAGCCAUACCGCGUGGGUGAAGAAGGCCUUCGGGUUGUAAAGCCCUUUUGUUGGGAAAGAAAAGCAGCAGGUUAAUACCCCGCUGUUCUGACGGUACCCAAAGGAUAAGCACCGGCUAACUUCGUG
This 492-nucleotide ribosomal RNA is filed under the name uncultured bacterium. RNAcentral describes it as "partial 16S ribosomal RNA". It matches the Rfam family "Bacterial small subunit ribosomal RNA", at positions 29 to 507 of the family's 1533-position model. The record is from RNAcentral.